GGGCCCGUAGCUUAGCCUGGUUGAGCACUCGACUGAUAAUCGAGAGGCCGUGCGUUCAAAUCGCGCCGGGCCCA
Molecule: transfer RNA, 74 nt
Filed under: Nanobdellota archaeon
Lineage: Archaea; Nanobdellati; Nanobdellota
Description: tRNA-Ile
Rfam family: tRNA
About the family: Transfer RNA (tRNA) molecules are approximately 80 nucleotides in length. Their secondary structure includes four short double-helical elements and three loops (D, anti-codon, and T loops). Further hydrogen bonds mediate the characteristic L-shaped molecular structure. tRNAs have two regions of fundamental functional importance: the anti-codon, which is responsible for specific mRNA codon recognition, and the 3' end, to which the tRNAs corresponding amino acid is attached (by aminoacyl-tRNA synthetases). tRNAs cope with the degeneracy of the genetic code in two manners: having more than one tRNA (with a specific anti-codon) for a particular amino acid; and 'wobble' base-pairing, i.e. permitting non-standard base-pairing at the 3rd anti-codon position.
Source: RNAcentral